Molecule: long non-coding RNA, 502 nt
Organism: Gopherus evgoodei (Goodes thornscrub tortoise)
Lineage: Eukaryota; Metazoa; Chordata; Testudines; Testudinidae
Exons: 3
Source: RefSeq, a predicted model, not a curated record
UUCUCUGGACCCCACGCCGCCUGCCUGGGAGUGAAGAAGGAGCGGUCGCCGGCCUCCGCUGGGGGGGGGGCAGGGAAGGUUCGCUGGCUCCUGCUGAGGGGACUACUUUACGUGUUGGUGCGGCGAAUUUAUUUCCCUUUGCCUAAGGAACGGGCUGUGCUACGGCUCCCAUUGCCUAGGGAAAAAACCCGGAUGUAAAGAUCUCCUCACACGGACUAUGUGACCAUUCUACACUCAUAACUCCAACCUUCUAAACAUAGAACAUCAGAACGGCCAUAUUGAGUCAGACCAAUGGUCCAUCUAGCCAAGUAUCCUGUCAUUCGACAGUGGCCAAUGCCAAAGGGAAUGAAGAGGAACAGGUAAUAAUGGCAUGGAGCUGAUGCUUGGGACAUUUAAAGAAAGAUUGGCGAAAGCACUAUUUAGUAUACCGUAGAGAGCAAUCUUGCAAUGAACCUCAUUAAAGGAGUUGACAAUAGAGGUUCCCAAACUGCGGACUGUGAAG